RNAcentral lists this ribosomal RNA (467 nucleotides) under uncultured bacterium. Its description in RNAcentral is "partial 16S ribosomal RNA". It matches the Rfam family "Bacterial small subunit ribosomal RNA", at positions 28 to 507 of the family's 1533-position model. The record is from RNAcentral.
GAUGAACGCUGGCGGCGUGCUUAACACAUGCAAGUCGAACGGAAAGGCCCUGCUUUUGUGGGGUGCUCGAGUGGCGAACGGGUGAGUAACACGUGAGUAACCUGCCCUUGACUUUGGGAUAACUUCAGGAAACUGGGGCUAAUACCGGAUAGGAGCUCCUGCUGCAUGGUGGGGGUUGGAAAGUUUCGGCGGUUGGGGAUGGACUCGCGGCUUAUCAGCUUGUUGGUGGGGUAGUGGCUUACCAAGGCUUUGACGGGUAGCCGGCCUGAGAGGGUGACCGGCCACAUUGGGACUGAGAUACGCCCAGACUCCUACGGGAGGCAGCAGUGGGGAAUAUUGCACAAUGGGCGGAAGCCUGAUGCAGCAACGCCGCGUGCGGGAUGACGGCCUUCGGGUUGUAAACCGCUUUCGCCUGUGACGAAGCGUGAGUGACGGUAAUGGGUAAAGAAGCACCGGCUAACUACGUG